Molecule: signal recognition particle RNA, 299 nt
Filed under: Aotus nancymaae (Ma's night monkey)
Lineage: Eukaryota; Metazoa; Chordata; Mammalia; Primates; Aotidae
Description: Metazoan signal recognition particle RNA (ENSANAG00000001185.1)
Rfam family: Metazoan signal recognition particle RNA
About the family: The signal recognition particle (SRP) is a universally conserved ribonucleoprotein.
Source: RNAcentral
GCCAGGCGCGGUGGCGCGUGCCUGUAGUCCCGUCUACUUGGGAGGCUGAGGCUGGAGAAUCUCUUGAGUCCAGGAGUUUUGGGCUGUAGUGCAGUAUGCCGAUCGGGUGUCCGCACUAAGUUCGGCAUCAGUAUGGUGACCUCCUGGAAGUGGGGGAACACCAGGUUGCCUAAGGAGGGGUGAACCAGCCCAGGUCGGAAACGGAGCAGGUAAAAACUCCCAUGCUGAUCAGUAGUGGGAUCGUGCCUGUGAAUAGCCACUGCACUGUAGCCUGGGCAACAUAGCGAGACCCCGUCUCU